This 470-nucleotide long non-coding RNA is filed under the name Homo sapiens (human). RNAcentral's name for it is "non-protein coding lnc-RUVBL1-1:7". Lineage: Eukaryota; Metazoa; Chordata; Mammalia; Primates; Hominidae. The record is from RNAcentral.
GUCACGCCUCCCGAGACUGGGGCUGUGCGGCCUCACGGAGAAACUGAGGCAGGCGCGAAGCGUCGAGUGCGCGCGUGGCCCUGCAGGCAGGCGGAGACCCUGGUGGCUCCCAUACACGUAACAGCACUCACUGCUCUUUGACGUUAGUGAAUAGACCGUAAGCUCCCUGGAGCAGGGACCUUAUCCCAGCGUCUACCGCGGCGCCCGUCACCUACAGAUAAUCAGGUUUUGUACAUUCUUGGCUCAGAAAGUUGGACAGGACAGGAAGUCUUUUUUGGAAUACAAACCCACUGGUGGAAAAUUCAAAGGACUACUGGGAACAGGCAGGACCCACUGAUGAUCUCUUCUGGAGUUUUGGCCUGAAGCUAAAACUGGCAGCCCCUGGACUAAGUUCAGCAUAUAGACUAGAUCCGAUAUUUAGCCAUUAUGCACCCUGCACCAUAUUGAUGGUUAAAAUGUUGAAAUAUUUC